GAGGAGAAGCCCGCGGCGCAGUCUAUGGCCUCCUAGGGGGAAGGGCCUUGAGGUCCCUGUCCUUCUCCUAACAGGCGGCGACGCAGCCAUGGCCUUGCUGUCGUGGGAGUCCCAGACAGGGUAGGAAGGAGGGCCAUAGAAAGGAGGAGGGCCGAGUGAACAUGGAGUUUUGAAGGGGGAAACCAUUUGUGGUAUUUGAGUCCCGGAGGCAUAUGAAACCGCCCACAGAAGACACAUUCCAAAGUCUUCAGUGGGAACCUGGGAGAGGGCAGAGGACUGCGCGGCGCUGGAUGGGGUAGAGCGAGGAGGGUCGAGGAGGGGCGCCACAGCCCACAGAGCAGGCACCGACCUCACUGCGCAUGUGCCCUGGGCGUCUUCCCGUCGGCCCCUUUGCCCACGUGGUGAACGCGGCGGAGCUGUGAGGGUGUGAGGGUCGCGCUCCUGCUGUCUGGACUUUUUCUGUCCUACUGAGACACGGCCGACAUGAGAUGAUGAACCUCAAGUACCACCCCAGACAACAAGGCUGCUUCAUCAGGACACAAACCUGCCUGUACCAGGACCUCUGACCUGUGUGCAGCAGAAGGAGUGGGUCAACAUAGCUUCUGAAGAGCAUUCAUUGGAGUGAAUCUGCCAUUUAUUGGCUGUUCUUCAAACCAUAAGACUGAUAUUGAUGGUCAGCUUACAGAGGUAUGCUCUCUACAGAUUUUCACGCCCAUCCAAUCUGUAAUGUGGCUCAUCUGUGACUCAUUCAUCAGGAGCAUGAAUUUUAGUGGCGAAGAGAAUCUGACCAGCCUUGUUCCACAGAGCUCAUAUGAAAUGUGCUGAUGAUCUUUGUGCUGGCCGCAGGAAUGGUAAUAAAACCAAUUGGACUAACCAUAAUCCUUCUAUAGAUUAACAUGAUUUCAGAAUUAUUAACCACUUUCACAUGACUCUAUGUACAUAGCCACAACUGGUUACGUUGUACAUUAUGGUAAUCACUAUUACAUGGUGAUUUUGCUUCCAACAUUAUAUACACACAUUCAACAAAGCUGAUUUUAAUUUUGGGAGCCAGAUUCUAUUUAUUCUUCAGGGAAAAUAAAGCAGACAAAACCUUCAAGUUUUA
RNAcentral lists this long non-coding RNA (1102 nucleotides) under Homo sapiens (human). Its description in RNAcentral is "HSALNT0118699". Lineage: Eukaryota; Metazoa; Chordata; Mammalia; Primates; Hominidae. The record is from RNAcentral.